GAAAUGCGAUAAGUAGUGUGAAUUGCAGAAUUCAGUGAAUCAUCGAAUCUUUGAACGCACAUUGCGCCCCUAGGUAUUCCUUGGGGCAUGCCUGUUCGAGCGUCAUUUCAACCCUCAAGCCUAGCUUGGUAUUUGGGUGCUUUGUUCUGUCUCAACUGACGAACUCACCUCAAAGUAAUUGGCAGCCGUUGUCCGCCGGCUACAGUGCAGCACAAACGCACUGAAGAUCAGGCGGGUCAGGCUCUCCACAAGUUCCCACAUGUUGACCUCGGAUCAGGUAGGGAUACCCGCUGAACUUAAGCA
This 303-nucleotide unclassified non-coding RNA is filed under the name plant metagenome. RNAcentral describes it as "partial contains 5.8S ribosomal RNA, internal transcribed spacer 2, and large subunit ribosomal RNA". The stretch from base 1 to 105 matches the Rfam family "5.8S ribosomal RNA", at positions 50 to 154 of the family's 154-position model. The record is from RNAcentral.